Molecule: long non-coding RNA, 515 nt
Organism: Papaver somniferum (opium poppy)
Lineage: Eukaryota; Viridiplantae; Streptophyta; Magnoliopsida; Ranunculales; Papaveraceae
Exons: 4
Source: RefSeq, a predicted model, not a curated record
CUCUUCUCAGUACUUCUCUCUGAGAAGGAGAAGAAAUUCUCCCCUUCUUCUGAUCUUCAUCUUCUCUGUUAUCAAACGAUUAAAAGUUCAAACCGUAUUACUUCGUCUGUCUCUUCGUUUUUAAUUCCGGUGUGAAGAAAAUUAGAAGAACAAUUCCGGUGCGAGUAGCGGCUUAAAGGAUUUUCUUCAUCUCCCACCAAACCUUCAUAGCGAGUAGCGGCUUAAAGGAUUCACUGCAAUCACCGCCAAAGAUUGAGACCAAUUGAGAGCAAUUGCCUGACAAGUAAAAUCAAGGUACAUUAUCAAAGGCAGGAGCCGCAGGACUGCAUCAAUUGCACAAGGAAGUGCCAACUUUGUCAGUGAUGGAAAUAUGGCGUCAUUUCACUCGGAGAAAUGUUGAAGAACCCUCUUGCAAUUACUGUGGAAGGACUUAUAGGGCUAACAUGUCCAGAAAUGGAACUUCUGCCUUGUGGAAUGCUUAGAAGUUGCAAUAAUGCUUAGAAGUUGUAACUUAU